CAUGCAGUCGAGGGGCAGCAUGGUCUUAGCUUGCUAAGGCCGAUGGCGACCGGCGCACGGGUGAGUAACGCGUAUCCAACCUGCCUUACACUCUUGGACAGCCUUCUGAAAGGGAGAUUAAUACAAGAUGUUAUCAUGAGUAAGCAUUUUCACAUGAUUAAAGGUUUACCGGUGUAAGAUGGGGAUGCGUUCCAUUAGAUAGUAGGCGGGGUAACGGCCCACCUAGUCUUCGAUGGAUAGGGGUUCUGAGAGGAAGGUCCCCCACAUUGGAACUGAGACACGGUCCAAACUCCUACGGGAGGCAGCAGUGAGGAAUAUUGGUCAAUGGACGAGAGUCUGAACCAGCCAAGUAGCGUGAAGGAUGAAGGUUCUAUGGAUUGUAAACUUCUUUUAUACGGGAAUAAACGGAUCCACGUGUGGAUUUUUGCAUGUACCGUAUGAAUAAGGAUCGGCUAACUCCGUGCCAGCAGCCGCGGUAAUACGGAGGAUCCGAGCGUUAUCCGGAUUUAUUGGGUUUAAAGGGAGCGUAGAUGGGUUGUUAAGUCAGUUGUGAAAGUUUGCGGCUCAACCGUAAAAUUGCAAUUGAUACUGGCAGUCUUGAGUACAGUUGAGGUAGGCGGAAUU
RNAcentral lists this ribosomal RNA (624 nucleotides) under uncultured bacterium. RNAcentral describes it as "bacterial SSU rRNA". It matches the Rfam family "Bacterial small subunit ribosomal RNA", at positions 54 to 668 of the family's 1533-position model. The record is from RNAcentral.